UACGUAGGUGGCAAGCGUUGUCCGGAAUUAUUGGGCGUAAAGCGCGCGCAGGCGGUCCUUUAAGUCUGAUGUGAAAGCCCACGGCUCAACCUUGGAGUUGCCUUUGAUACUGGCUAUCUUGAGUAUGGGAGAGGUGUGUGGAACUCCGAGUGUAGAGGUGAAAUUCGUAGAUAUUCGGAAGAACACCAGUGGCGAAGGCGACACACUGGCCCAUUACUGACGCUGAGGCUCGAAAGCGUGGGGAGCAAACAGG
This 253-nucleotide ribosomal RNA is filed under the name uncultured bacterium. RNAcentral's name for it is "partial 16S ribosomal RNA". It matches the Rfam family "Bacterial small subunit ribosomal RNA", at positions 524 to 776 of the family's 1533-position model. The record is from RNAcentral.